Non-coding RNA from Peromyscus maniculatus bairdii (prairie deer mouse), 296 nucleotides. NCBI's taxonomy places the organism in Eukaryota, Metazoa, Chordata, Mammalia, Rodentia, Cricetidae. The record is from RefSeq and is a predicted model, not a curated record.
AGAACACCAGGCUCAUAAGAGGCCACUACAGUCUUCUUGGCUUUGACUUGAGUGGUGUAGGAUUCUGCGUGGGUAAAUGACCAGACUGGAAUUGGAAAGAAGUGUGGGAGAUCCAUGCUUCUUGCCUUGAGCCCUCCUUGAAAUUUGGAAGCAAAUGGAUGGAACUAGAAAAAAAAAUCAUCCUGAGUGAGGUGACCUAGACCGAGGAAGACAAACGUCAUAUCUACUGUAUGACACUGCAGACCUGCUACAAGUACUUGAAGGAGGAGACUGAACAUGGCCAGUGGUGUAGCUCC